UACGAAGGGGGCGAGCAUUGUUCGGAAUUACUGGGCGUAAAGGGUGCGUAGGCGGUUUGAUAAGUCAGAUGUGAAAGCCCAGGGCUUAACCCUGGAACUGCAUUUGAAACUAUCAGACUAGAGUGAUGGAGAGGAGAACAGAAUUCCCAGUGUAGAGGUGAAAUUCGUAGAUAUUGGGAGGAAUACCAGUGGCGUAGGCGGUUCUCUGGCCAUAUACUGACGCUGAGGCACGAAAGCGUGGGGAGCAAACAGG
This 253-nucleotide ribosomal RNA is filed under the name uncultured bacterium. RNAcentral's name for it is "partial 16S ribosomal RNA". It matches the Rfam family "Bacterial small subunit ribosomal RNA", at positions 524 to 776 of the family's 1533-position model. The record is from RNAcentral.